This 459-nucleotide ribosomal RNA is filed under the name uncultured bacterium. RNAcentral's name for it is "bacterial SSU rRNA". It matches the Rfam family "Bacterial small subunit ribosomal RNA", at positions 49 to 507 of the family's 1533-position model. The record is from RNAcentral.
UAACACAUGCAAGUCAACUUGACUGAAGGAGCAAUCUGACAGUAGAGUGGCGCAAGGGUGCGUAACGCGUAAGUAACUUGCCCCAAGGUAAGGAAUAACGUCGAGAAAUCGGCGCUAAUACCUCAUAAUGCAGCGGAUCCGCAUGGAUAUGUUGUUAAAGGUUUACCGCCUUGGGAUAGGCUUGCGUCUGAUUAGCUAGUUGGUGUGGUAACGGCACACCAAGGCUACGAUCAGUAACUGGUCUGAGAGGAUGAUCAGUCACACUGGAACUGAGACACGGUCCAGACUCCUACGGGAGGCAGCAGUGAGGAAUAUUGGGCAAUGCUCGAAAGAGUGACCCAGCAACGCCGCGUGGAGGAUGAAGGUAUUCUAUAUCGUAAACUCCUGUGAGAGCAGACGAAAGACAGAUUAUUAAUCUGGAUGACUGUAUGCUCAGAGGAAGCCCCGGCUAACUACGUG